Molecule: transfer RNA, 72 nt
Filed under: Urocitellus parryii (Arctic ground squirrel)
Lineage: Eukaryota; Metazoa; Chordata; Mammalia; Rodentia; Sciuridae
Also listed under: 1 other name
Description: Spermophilus parryii (Arctic ground squirrel) tRNA
Rfam family: tRNA
About the family: Transfer RNA (tRNA) molecules are approximately 80 nucleotides in length.
Source: Rfam by way of RNAcentral
GGAGGUAUAGCUCAGUGGUAUAGCACUUGGCUAGCAUGCACAAGGUCCUGGGUUUGAGUCCCAGUAUACCCC